Molecule: small nuclear RNA, 145 nt
Organism: Nycticebus coucang (slow loris)
Lineage: Eukaryota; Metazoa; Chordata; Mammalia; Primates; Lorisidae
Product: U4 spliceosomal RNA
Exons: 1
Source: RefSeq, a predicted model, not a curated record
AGCUUUGCACAGUGGCAGCACCAUUGCCAAUGAGGUUUAUCCAAGGUGCCAUUAUUGUUAAUUGAAAACUUUUCCCAAUACCCUGCCAUGGCUGCUUGUAAUAUAAUUAGUUGGCACAGGCAAUUUUUGAUGGUCUCUGUAGAGA